Molecule: ribosomal RNA, 1370 nt
Filed under: uncultured bacterium
Lineage: Bacteria
Description: bacterial SSU rRNA
Rfam family: Bacterial small subunit ribosomal RNA
Source: RNAcentral
AGAGUUUGAUCCUGGCUCAGAACGAACGCUGGCGGCGUGGAUAAGACAUGCAAGUCGAACGAGAGAAUUGCUAGCUUGCUAAUAAUUCUCUAGUGGCGCACGGGUGAGUAACACGUGAGUAACCUGCCCCCGAGAGCGGGAUAGCCCUGGGAAACUGGGAUUAAUACCGCAUAGUAUCGAAAGAUUAAAGCAGCAAUGCGCUUGGGGAUGGGCUCGCGGCCUAUUAGUUAGUUGGUGAGGUAACGGCUCACCAAGGCGAUGACGGGUAGCCGGUCUGAGAGGAUGUCCGGCCACACUGGAACUGAGACACGGUCCAGACACCUACGGGUGGCAGCAGUCGAGAAUUAUUCACAAUGGGGGAAACCCUGAUGGUGUGACGCCGCGUGGGGGAAUGAAGGUCUUCGGAUUGUAAACCCCUGUCAUGUGGGAGCAAAUUAAAAAGAUAGUACCACAAGAGGAAGAGACGGCUAACUCUGUGCCAGCAGCCGCGGUAAUACAGAGGUCUCAAGCGUUGUUCGGAAUCACUGGGCGUAAAGCGUGCGUAGGCUGUUUCGUAAGUCGUGUGUGAAAGGCGCGGGCUCAACCCGCGGACGGCACAUGAUACUGCGAGACUAGAGUAAUGGAGGGGGAACCGGAAUUCUCGGUGUAGCAGUGAAAUGCGUAGAUAUCGAGAGGAACACUCGUGGCGAAGGCGGGUUCCUGGACAUUAACUGACGCUGAGGCACGAAGGCCAGGGGAGCGAAAGGGAUUAGAUACCCCUGUAGUCCUGGCAGUAAACGGUGCACGCUUGGUGUGCGGGGAAUCGACCCCCUGCGUGCCGGAGCUAACGCGUUAAGCGUGCCGCCUGGGGAGUACGGUCGCAAGAUUAAAACUCAAAGAAAUUGACGGGGACCCGCACAAGCGGUGGAGUAUGUGGCUUAAUUCGAUGCAACGCGAAGAACCUUACCUGGGCUUGACAUGUAAUGAACAACAUGUGAAAGCAUGCGACUCUUCGGAGGCGUUACACAGGUGCUGCAUGGCCGUCGUCAGCUCGUGUCGUGAGAUGUUUGGUUAAGUCCAGCAACGAGCGCAACCCCUGUUGCCAGUUACCAGCACGUGAAGGUGGGGACUCUGGCGAGACUGCCCAGAUCAACUGGGAGGAAGGUGGGGACGACGUCAGGUCAGUAUGGCCCUUAUGCCCAGGGCUGCACACGUACUACAAUGCCCAGUACAGAGGGGGCCGAAGCCGCGAGGCGGAGGAAAUCCUGAAAACUGGGCCCAGUUCGGACUGUAGGCUGCAACCCGCCUACACGAAGCCGGAAUCGCUAGUAAUGGCGCAUCAGCUACGGCGCCGUGAAUACGUUCCCGGGUCUUGCACUCACCGCCCGUCA